AUCUAAUUUUUAUUAGCUUCGCUUGGAUUAUAUCGACCACUUUGGAAAACCUGGCAAUCACCGCUUCUUUGGCUUCUUUCUUCUUGCUCUUCUUGUUCUUAUCGGUGCCAGGCAGACACCUCCUUGAGAAACUUGGCAGAUGCAGGUUCUCUGUAUCAAAAACCAAUCUAGCAAUAGUUUAAAAGCUCCAGCGUCUGGAAAUUGCAGCUUCCCAGUUCCACCUUUUCGUUCCUUGCAGUUCCUGAUCUUAUCUUCGCACUUUCGCCAAUUUUUCUCUUUGGCUCAUUGUUUCUUAUAAAAAGAAGUUGAACUUGUAUAGCUGAUGGAUUCCAAAGAACCAAACAAGUGCUCUUACGCGGAAAAAAGAAAGGCUGCAAUGCAACUCAAACGGCGUGAUACGCAAAGCCAAAUAUCUGCUCAUAGCGGGGAAGCGAUGUUGCUAUCGCGACGCAUGAGAAGAAAACAUUCUACUAAGCACAGCCUUCUUCAAAGCCCGUUUUUUGCUGUCCCACAGCAAUCAACAUCAUCUUGGGACAAAGCAGGAUUUCUAAAACAAACUGCUCUUACCAUACGAGAACCUCCUCCACUUCCUGAAAAAGAUUAUAUUGUUUUACUCAUAUUUACACACCAUAUAUUAUUAAUGCAAUGGUGCUUAUGUAUUUUGCUUGGAAACUUAGUAUGAUACUUUAUUUAUCUUA
This is a non-coding RNA of Nicotiana tabacum (common tobacco), 698 nucleotides long. The record is from RefSeq and is a predicted model, not a curated record. NCBI's taxonomy places the organism in Eukaryota, Viridiplantae, Streptophyta, Magnoliopsida, Solanales, Solanaceae.